CCUACGGGGGGCAGCAGUGAGGAAUAUUGGUCAAUGGUCGGGAGACUGAAUCAGCCAAGCCGCGUGAGGGAGGAAGGUACAGAGUAUCGUAAACCUCUUUUGUCAGGGAACAAAGGCGGGGACGUGUCCCCGGAUGAGUGUACCUGAAGAAAAAGCAUCGGCUAACUCCGUGCCAGCAGCCGCGGUAAUACGGAGGAUGCGAGCGUUAAUCGGAUUUAUUGGGUUUAAAGGGUUCGCAGGCGGUCUGUUAAGUCAGCGGUCAAAGCCCCGGGGCCAAACCCGGCCCGGCCGUGCAAACUGGGAGUCUCGAGUUGGAGAGAGGUAUGCGGAAUGCGCGGUGUAGCGGUGAAAUGCAUAGAUAUCGCGCAGAACUCCGAUUGCGAAGGCAGCAUGCCGGCUCCACACUGACGCUGAGGCACGAAAGCGUGGGUAUCGAACAGGAUUAGAUACCCUUGUAGUC
Molecule: ribosomal RNA, 460 nt
Filed under: uncultured bacterium
Lineage: Bacteria
Description: partial 16S ribosomal RNA
Rfam family: Bacterial small subunit ribosomal RNA
Source: RNAcentral